Molecule: long non-coding RNA, 10326 nt
Filed under: Malus domestica (apple)
Lineage: Eukaryota; Viridiplantae; Streptophyta; Magnoliopsida; Rosales; Rosaceae
Description: long non-coding RNA (MDOM_LNC002454)
Source: RNAcentral
UUUUUUUUUUUUUUGGCUAGACACAACAUUAUCUUUUCAUAGCAGGAAUGGUGCAGUAGAUUUGACAUCAUUGGUUAAUUAAAAAAACAAUGCUAAAUAGACUCUUUUAAAUUGGAAUUCUCCAUCCUAUAAAAAAAAUUGGGAUUCUUUAUAAACUCUUUAUUAGUUUACAGCUUAAUGUCAAUUAUCAUGCCAAGUUUAUAAAAAAUUGUAAAUAAAAUAUGAGAUGACAUAUAAUUUAUAAAUAAUCUCAUUUUGAAAAAAUCUUAUUAACUUUUCAUAAGGAGAUGUUACCUAAAAGUAAUAAAAUUUUAUAUUUAAAAUUUCAAAGCGUUUGGAAUCCAAUUCACUAGUCUUCCUAGUUAAGGAUUGAGAUUGAUAGUUUUAAUGUUUUACAUUAGAUUUUUGUUGACGACGAGUUUGAUUUUUAAUAUGUGCCAUAUCACUUGUAUUAAAAAGAGUAGUUAUCUUCACAUAUUCAUUUUUACUUUGUACAUUUUUGUUAGUUUUUAUCUAUUAAUAUUAUUUAAUUUAUUUGAUCCAACAAUUGAAAAUUAAGAGGAGUGUGUGAGAAGUAAAAAUGGGUAUGUGGAUUGCACCACACAGAAAAAAUAUAUUGACAUUGCAUGACAAGUGCCCUUUUUGGAAAGCUAAAGCUAAAAUUAGACUUGGUAAUCGUGUCAUAUUUGUUGUGUUCGUGUCGUUUUCGUGACAUAUACGAUAUCUUCAUGGAACGUGUUGUGUCAAAUCCGUUAAAAUGAACUGAUAAUAUGAUAUGAACCAAACUCAACCGGUUAAAAUUAACGAGUAAUAUCACCCUAUCCGUUCCCAUUAAGAAAAUAUAUUUGACUUCCAUUAAUAAUCGAAUGAAAAACGUCAUACUAAAUUAGUAUCUACACAACACAUUGACAUAUUGUUUAAUUAAAAAAAAUGUCAAUGAGACUUUUAAAGUGAGACUCUUUGUAGAUUAUUUGUCAUCUCAAGACGUCAAUUUAUGUGUUAAUAUUAUAAAAUAUAAGAUAGCAGACUGUUCGUAGACUCCCACUUUUGAUAUAUUCUCCUUAGCUUUUGACAAGGAGAUGUUACCUAAGAGUGAAAGUAAGAAAAUUUUAUAUUUAAAAUUUCAAAGCGUUGGAAUCCCACUCACAAAUUUCUUCCUAGUUAAGGAUUGAGAUUGAUACUUUUAGGGGGGAUGUUUUAAGUUAGAUUUUUGUUAACCUCGAGUUUGAUUGUUUAUUAUGUGGCAUAGCAAUCGUAUUAAAAAAAAGUAAGGCUAUUUAAACACUUCUUUUUAUGUCUUAUACACUAUUAUUAAUUUUUAUUCGUUGAUUUUUUCAAUUCAUUUAAUUCAAGUACUAAAAAUUAAGAAAAUAUAUAUUGGCAUUGAAUGACUAGUGCCCAUUUUGAAAAGCUAUAGCUAAAGUGGUGGCCCAUAACAUGCACCUCUAGACUCAUGGUUUUUUUUUCUUUAAAAUGGUGGCCCAUAACAUGCACAAAAAUGUUUGAUCUUUAAUUUUAUGUUUUUUCCCUUUCUGAAAUGUAUAUUCUUGUACCGUUGAUCUGUUUGGACUGAUUCAGUCUGAGUACUCUGCUUGAUUAUGAUUUAAUUUAGUCCAAGAAAAUUACACAUAUUAUUAUAGCGUUUACACAAAACGCUAUGAUGAUGAUGUACUCGUGCUAUUAAAGUUGUUCUUGCCAUUACUCUAGCAGAAAAUAACCCAAAAAAUAGAAACAAGGGAAAUUAAAAGAAAAACCCAAAACCAAAGAACAAAGUCCAAAGUUUAAAUUUAAUAACAAAUGCAUCCUCGAUCCCCGACGAUGGUAAGGGAUGGAUGCUUAAUUAUAGCAAAGUCGCCAUGAAAGAAACUGUUGAAUAAGUGGCCAAGUGGCCAAAUGGACAACAAAACAAAACAACUUUCGGCUAAUAAACAAACCAAAAGGAAAAAAAAAAAAAGGUGAAAGACAAAAUGAUGAGGGAACAUAUGAUUAUGUUUGUUGAAAAGAAAAAUUGAAGGUCAUGAUGAUGUUUUUGAAUUUUUUAUUUGGUGCUUUUGUAUUGAUGAAGUGAGCAUACGGAAGUGAGAAAUAGAGAGGAAGUGUGCAUCAUUUUUUCUGUUUUAGUAGCCCAUCUUUGAGAGAGCAAAGAGAGCUGCAGAGAGCAGAAAACAGAGAGUAGAAAAGAAGAAGAAGGGCUCUUCUCUUUGGUUAGUAAUCACCCACCAAGGUAGUUGUUGUUAUAAUAGCUUUGAGCUUUGUAUAGAGAAGAAAUUAAUCAUUAUAUUUCUCUUUAUUUGUUUCUUUGGUGUGUGAAAACUAUUGGUUAUAUUGGGUUAUUUGGGUUGUGAGAUUGCCAACACUUUGUAAACUCCCAUUUGGUUGAUAGUGGAUUAUUGGGUGAGCUCCUACUGCUCCGAGGACGUACUCCAGUUACACUGAUUGUUGAGGAACCUCGUUAAAUCUUGGUGUUCUUUUAUAUUUUUAUUCUUGCAUUUCAUUUGAUAAAUUUCCUGUGGAUUAGCUUGAGUUGGUUCCAUUUGGUUUGGUGCUAUCCUAGCACAACAAGAAGCUACCUAAAAGUGGAAGUUUCAACCUUCAUAUAAGUUUUUCAAGCAACCAAUUCCCAGUGGAAAAGAAUAACGAUUGGAAAGCCUGAUAAUUGUUCCCACUGGAAUUGUCAAGAAACUGAAGAGAACAUCAAUUAUCACAAACGAACAAGUUUUUCAAAAAACACAAUGUAAAAAUAAUAUCAUCCAUAUAAGAACCAGGUCAGUGAGCAAUUGUCACAAAUAUAUUAUCUCAAACCGGCAAACCCUAUUUUUAUUUGAAAAAUCUUGCGAAUAGAUUGGAGAGAGUUAAGUGUUAAAAAGUAAACGGACCUGGUUUCUCUGUCAUUCUAGUUCUCAUACACUCUCAUUCAUUUUCAUUUGUGAGGUCACGGUUAAGCCACGUCAACAUUUUAUAUCACUAUUACCUUUUGUCUUAUUAUCUCUAUAAAGAAAAUUAAUAUAAAAUGUUGACGUGGCUUAACUGUGAUCGCACAAAAUAGGAGGGGAUGAGAAUGUAUAGGAAGUGAGAGGGUAGAGAAGUCGGGUCCAAAGUAAAGUGAUCGCUUUGUUUCACGACAUUUUCUUUCCACUGUUCAGUUUGACAUUAUUGUUUAAUUAAAAAAAGUAAAGUUAGGGAGGCGUCACCAUUUUUGCUUUCCACAAGAAUAGAUGUUACUUGAAAGCUAAGAAUUUUUUUUAUUAUGCCGGAAAUAUGGUUUAGUAUACCAAGUGUCAUAGUUAAAAAAUUUUAUUUAAAACUCCAAUCACUUGUUAUGAUAUUUUGUGUACUAAAUCGUGUUUUCAAUACACUAAAAAAAUCUCUCAUAAAGUGGAAGUAACAAUUUUAUAUCUAAAUUUAAAAGAUUUGGAAUCCAGUUCACUAAUUUCUUCCUAGUUAAGGAAUGAGAUUGAUACCUUUGGGCGUGAUGUUUUAGGUGACAAAGCACUCAUGUUAAUAAAAAGGAUAUAUUACACAAAACUACCUCAAUUAUAAGUCGAACCACAAUCACAUACCUCAUGUUUUAAACAUCACAAUGUUAUACCUCAACUUUUGAAUUCGUUGCAAUGUUAGAUCUCCGUUAAGUUUUCUGUCAAUUUAACUGUUAUACCUCAACUUUUGAAUUCGUUGCAAUGUUAUACCUCAACUUUUGAAUUCGUUGCAAUGUCCGAAUUAAGAGUUUUUUUUAUUUUAAGAAUUUUAACGAAAAACACUGGAGUGUUUAUUUUAACGAAAAAUCACAUUUUUACACUAAAAAGCCAAUCCUGUACUAUUUAUUUUAUCCUUUAUUUUGUCUAUAUCGUUAAAAUUCAAAGUUUUUAAGUUUUUUUCAUUAGAUUUUUUUAAUAUUAUAUUAGAUUUUUUAAUUAAGUUUAAUUGUUAAAUAAUUUUUUAUUAAUUAAUUUUUUAUUCCAAUUGGCAAAGGAGUGGGUUCUGCUCUUGUCACGUCAUCAUUUAAUAGGCAAAUUGACAAAAAAGUUAACGAAACUCUGAUAUUGCAAUGAAUUCAUAAGUUGAGGUAUUGAAAUGUUUAAAAUAUAAGGUAUGAGAUUGUGAUUCGAUCUAUAGUUGAAAUAGUUUUAGUCUAAAAAUAUUUAUUGACAUUGAAUGACUGGCACUCUUUUUGAAAAGCUAAAGCUAAAACGGUGGCCAAAAUGGUGACCCGAACUAGGCACAAAAGGUUUGAUCUUUAAUUUCUUGUUUUUUUCACUUUCUUAUUUGCCCUUGUACUGUUGAUCUGUUUGUACUGAUUCAGUCCGAGUAUUCCGCUUGAUAUGCUAAUAUAUAUUCAUCUAAUUUAGUCUGAAAAACUUACACGUAACGUUAUAUCAUUAUAUCAUCGACACAGAAUAUCAUAAUAACAGUAUCCAUGCUAUUAAAUUUAAGGGUUAAGAUCUGAGAGUUGAGGGAAGGGAAAUAAGCACAAUAGGUGGGGUGUUUGUGUGUGUGGUGGCGGUGGUAGGACUCCUACCGUAGGAGUCAGAGAAGGAGAUGGGGUGGGUGUAAAAGAAAGUGGUGGAGGAAGAUGGAAAAAAUGAAGUCCUUAAUCUCUAUUUUGUUCAAUGCGAUGCGAGGUAUACGAAUUGUCAGGGAUGAUGAAAUGAGAUCAUAUUUUGUAGAUCACAUUUAAAUUAUUUCUUUAAUAAAAAUAGGAUCCACAAGUACAGACCUGAACAAUAUCACAAAGUUCGCCUAGAUACAACCGAUCUUCAUCACAAUACAAACCAAACCCUACAUAUUCGACAGAAACUAACCGAAACUGGCCUAAAGCCAACCAGGUCCAAACUCCCUUCGCAACUAGAUCUCACAUUUUUCACUUUAUCUCAAACCCAAAUGUUACCAUGUAAAUAAAAAUUAGUCUCAGACAAACAGGAAAUACUGUGGAUUCCUGUGCAGUAACAACAAAAGCAAGCCCUUCUUUGUGUAACCAAUCCCUCCUCAUUGUUCUUGCUUUGGCUCCCUAAGCUCUGAAAUGAAGGUAUUGGUAAGAGCAGAAUCACCGAUAAAUGAGGCCGCCAAAAGAAGCAACGCCUGCAAAAAGAGUAACAAACUCUAACGUUAAAAGAAUUUAAACAGAUGACUAAUCUUACAUGUCCACAAAAUGGGAUGUCUUCAAAUUCAAGGCUUCAACUUUGUAGGUCAACGUAUGGAUUGACUCAAUUAAGUAUUUGAUUACUUGUUUGGGAUUGCGGUAUUAGAGAUGUUGGAUAAGAGGACGAAUCAGUCGAGGUGAUUUGUGUUGCCGAUGAUUCAUAAGGAAAUCCCGAGGGACAUGAAAUCUGGUAACAGAGAUUCCACAUAAACUAAUAAAGCAACACAUAAGUGGCUGAACAUCAACUGCCUGCGCUAGCUAGUUUGCCCGUCUGGAGUCAAAUCUACGAUUUUUCAAUAGGGAUCAUUUCACCAACCUGAUAUUCUGUUGACAUUUUCUAAAUUGAAUGUAAGCUCUCGAUUUUAUGAUAAACCAAUGGCCUAAAUUGUUAAAAGAACUUGCAAAUCUGAAACCAACGGAUUCUUUCAGUAAGGUUAAUCAAACAUUAUAAAUGACAACUCACUCACCUCCCUCUUGCCCACAUGCACGGUAUGAUCCUCGAUGUCAGUGAAAGGUAAUUCUUGAAGAACAGAGAUUUUAAGGAUUGGAGAUAUCACUCGUACAACUAGAAUGCCAGUCACUCUGAAGAUAGCAGGUCCUCUAAGAAAUCCUUCCACAGGAUCUGAAUGUUUACGAGCAAGCUCGAUAACUGUUCCCAUGGGGAUUGUCAAGUAACUGAAGAUAGUAUCAACCAAAUCAUUACCAGACUCCACGAAAAUAAUCUUGUUGCUUCCCUUGUCCACCAAGGCCUUCACGCAAAUAGUAGGAUUAGAAGCCAUUGAUUCUAAGGAUAAGACCUACAACGAACGUUGGCUAAACGAAAAUGGAGUCUAUUAUAAAGCAAUAGGUUUCUUUGGCAGGUGAAAAGCAUAAAGGUGAAUUCAAUAAGUUCUCUUGAUUUAUUGUAGAUCAUUUGAAUCAUGUUGGAAGACGAAGCAUCAGGUGAACCAAAUAAAUACAUUUACCAUUGUAAAUGUGGAAUUUUGAAAAGGAAGUCGUUUAGGUCGAAAUUGCAAACCUCAACGAUGACUUGAAGACUUUUCAAAGCUUCUUUAGCACACUGAGAACACGUCUUGAUACACAAGUGUCAACGUUUCGAUACACUAAUUAUCUCUCUAAUAAAAGUAGGAUCUACAAUACAAGGCCUCGUUUGGCACGCCGUAUAAAGCAUCGGAUAGGAUAAAUAAUACGGGAGCAGUUGUUUGGUGCACUAUCGUACUAAAUAAGCACCCGCUUAAUUAUCCGGUCUAUCAAAUUUUAUACGGUUGACACCGUACUAUUAAAACACCACAAAAGCUCGGGAUAAUUAGUCGGGGUGAUAUCCCUUCCAUCUUCACGACCACCACACCAAACCGACUGCGUCCGUGCUGUAGAUGUCCUGCUCCUGAACUUCUUCAAGCAUCGGAUCCACAUGCUGGUAGUCUAGAUCCAGAUAUGGAUCCAUUUCUACGACCUGAGUUCAGAUCCGGAUUCUCCAUAGCCUUUAGGUUCGAGAGCAGCCUCACCAUCCUCCCUGCUCACCUCGGUCUCUCGAUCCUGGAGCUUGCUCGCAGACCUCGCAGGGGCUAGACGCAGGGUGAUGAGAGUCGCAGUUGACGCAGAGGAAUACGGAGUCGAAGCGACAAAAUAGAGUUGUCGUCGCCGGGGAAGAAGAAUAAGGGAGAGAGAGGGAGGGAGUUUGGGGGUGCCGCGGAGAGAAGCGGGGAAGAAUUAUUUGGGAUGCUUUUGCAGUCGGGGAAGAAGAAGGAAGAGAGAGGGAGGGAGUUUGAUGGGUGCGGAAAGAUCUGCGAAAAAAAAAAAGAUGAUUUCACUUUUUUUUUAAGUUUUAUUCCUCUUAUCCGCUAUAAUACCAAUUUUAAGUUUUAUUCAUCUUAUCCGGUAUAAUACCAAACACAGUAUAAAUAAUACGGUCAUUAAUCCGAUACUGCACCAAACGCUCGACUAAUUUAGUCAAUACUAUCCGGUGGCUAUUUAUCCUAUUCGACAAAAAUAGUCAGUACAGUACGAGCUGCCAAACGAGGCCAGUACAGAGUUGAACAAUAUCACAAGGUUUGCCUAGAUACAACCGAUCUUUAUCAUAAUAGUUCGGCAGCCUUUUACCAAACCAAACCAUACAAAUUCGACAGAAACAAACCGAAACUGGCUAAAGCCAACCAGGUCCAAACACCCUUCGCAACCAGAUCUCAAAUUUUUCAUUUUAUCUCAAACCCAAAUGUUACCAUGUAAAUAAAAUUUAAUCUCACAGAUAGGAAUAUUGUGGAGUUCUUAUGCAGUAACAACAAAAGCAAGCUCUUCUUUGUGUGACCAAUCCUUCCUUAUUGUUCUUGCUUUGGCUCCCUAAGCUUUCCAAUGAAGGUAUUGGUAAGAGCAGAAUCACCAAUAAACGAGGCCACCAAAAGAAGCAACGCCUGCAAAAAGUAACAAACUCUGAAGUUAAAAGAAAUUUAAACAGAUAACUAAUGUUACAUGUCCACAAAAUGGGAUUCCUUCAACUUUGAAGGUGGACGUACGGAUUGGCUCAAUUAAGUGUUCGAUUACAUGUUUGGGAUUAUGGUAUCAUUUUCCAACAAUUGACUACCCUUGUUGUUUAGAGCAAUCAAUAACAUAACAUUGUGGACUGAUGCAAAUCAACAACCGUAACAAGGGAACUCCACUGACAGAUUAGAGAUGUUGGAUAAGAUCACUUAUCAGUCAAGGUGAUAUGUGUUGCCGAUGAUUCAUAAGGAAAUCCCAGAGGGACAUGAAAUAUGGUAACAAAAAUUCCACAUAAACUAAUGAAGCAUAACAUUAGUGGAUGAACAUCAAACUUUAUAAAUGACAAUUCACCUCCCUCUUGCCCAUAUGCACGAUAUGGUCCUCGAUGUCGGUGAAAGGUACCUUCAAUUCUUGAAGAACAGACAUUUCAAGGAUUAGAGAUAACGGUCUUACAACUAGAUUGUCAGUCACUGUGAAGGUAUCAGGUCCUUUCAGAAAACCUUGAGCACUUUUAUUGCUAUCUUCAUGAGAUUUGGGAUAAAAAACAUUAAGUUUAACUGACUCCGCUGAAGUAUUAUCAGGAAUACAGGACUUAUCAGUAGUUAACUUCUCGUUGAGAUAAUAAAAUGAGGUUUCCUCGAUUCCUAACAGAGGGUUCUCGUAUCGAAAACCAGGUGCAAGCUUUGGAUUGACCAACAAUUCCUUGUGGAAAUUUGACUUCAAGUAUUGCUCAUCAAGAUCUUCGACACUCUUGUACAACUGAUCGAGACAGCCUUUCCAUGAAACAUUCCGCAUCUUUUCUAAUAUAUACCCAAGUGGGAGAGUCGAGAAACUGCAGAGUAGAUUGACAAAAUCCUCUUGUGCCUCUGCAUAACAAACAAUCUUCUUAGACUUGCUAACUACAAGCUUAAGAGAAAUGUUUUUCUCUUCCUCAUUGAUUGUGUCACCAUGCAUUUGAGAAUCAAUCGAUAUUCCUUGACUGGAAUGUACAUCUCCCAAACUUGGUUUUGGUUCGUUUUUCAGAAGAAUUUCAGUCAAUGGUGUCUUUGAUACAAACGAAUGCAUAAGCAAAUUCAAAGCCUGGAAAAAGAGACAUCAAGCUAGUUAGAAACCACUUCUGUUGUUGAUGGAAAAAAAAAAAAAAAAAUUGAAGGCACACCCCACAAGAGGAAUACCUCCUGAAUUCCCAUAUUGAAAGUCAACUCCUCCGUAGUUUUAGAAUCUGUGACCCCUAGCUUCGAAAACAAACAGAUGCUUGUUGCACUUACUGGGGAAAUGACCUGUAAAUCAUCGGUAAUUAUCAGCCUGGGUCUCUCUUUCACAAAGACGCCUCCAACUUGAGUAUUAUCCACUGGAAUCUUCCAACCAAAAGUAGAAGCACAGGAAGGACAGAUGACACUUUGAUAAAAAAAAAAAAAAAGGUCGUACCCAGUGCACAAGGCUCCCGCUUUACGCAGGGUCUGGGAACAGAUGACACUUUGAUAAUAGCUUAAAAAGCAUCCUUCAUAGCACCAAAAGUACUGUGUUGGCCUAUUAUUGUCAAUUUUCAACUUGAGGUUCUGGCAUUGAAGAUCAGCAGAAUUGCAGGGAAGCAACAACAUAUCUCUACAUUCAACACAAGCUUUUUUUCCGCCAUGAUUGAAAGAAAGUAUAAAGUCGGAUUGCUAUCCCGUUGUUGAACAAAUUCAGUAAGCAAUUGUCACAAAUAUUUGUUUUAGGAUAAUGACCACCGAAAUAAAGCCUGUCUAGUCCGUGCAGAUGUUAAGUCGUUUCCCUCCUUUAACAUGAAAGAAGCUUCAAAAUACAAACCAACUUCAGGGAAAGAGAUAAAAUCUUGCGAAUAGCUUAAGCUAUAGGAAACAGAUUAUCUAAAAUCGGCAAACCCUAUUUUUAUCUGAAAAAUCUUGCGAAUGGUUUGGAGAGAAAGUUAAGUGCUAAAAUGUAAAGUGAUCGCUUUGUUUCACAACAUUUUCUUUCCACCAUUGAGUUUGACAUUAUUGUGUAAUUAAAAAAAAGGAAAGUACAGUUAGGUUGGCCUCACCGUUAUUGCUUUCCACAAGAAUAGAUGUUACUUGAAAGCAGAGAAAUUUUGUAGUGCGCCGGAAAUACAGCUUAGUACACUAAAUGUUAUAAAAAGGUCGUACCCAGUGCACAAGGCUCCCGCUUUACGCAGGGUCUGGGAGAGGUGAAUGUCGGCUAGCCUUACCUCUAUUUAUAAAGAGGCUGCUCCCAAGUCUCAAACCCGAGACCUACGUAGAUGUUAUAGUUAAAAAAAAUUUGUUUAGGGCUCUAACCACUUGUUAUGAUAUUUUGUGUAUUAAAUCGUGUUUUCAAUACACUAAAAAAUCUCUCCCAAAGCAGAAGUAAUACAAUUUUAUAUCUGAAUGUCAAAACGUUGGAAUCCAGCUCACUAAUGUCUUCUUAGUUAAGGAAUGAGAUUGAUACUUUUAGGCGGGAUGUUUUAGGUGACAAAGCACUCGUGUUAAUAAAAAUAUAUAUUGACAUUGAAUCACUGGUGCCCUUUUUGAAAAGCUAAAGCUAAAAUGGUGGCCAAAAUGGUGACCCGUAACAGGCAAAAAAAGGUUUGAUCUUUUAAUUUCAUGUUUUUUUUUCUUAUUUGCCCUUGUACAGCUGAUCUGUUUGUAGUGAUUCAGUCUGAGUACUCUGCUUGAUAUGUUAAUAUAUAUUCAUCUAAUUUAGUCUGAAAAACUUAC